GGGCCUGUAGCUCAGUCGGUAGAGCAGGCGGCUCUUAACCGCAAGGUCCAGGGUUCGAAUCCCUGCAGGCCCG
Molecule: transfer RNA, 73 nt
Filed under: Thermoplasmata archaeon
Lineage: Archaea; Methanobacteriati; Thermoplasmatota; Thermoplasmata
Also listed under: 1 other name
Description: tRNA-Lys
Rfam family: tRNA
About the family: Transfer RNA (tRNA) molecules are approximately 80 nucleotides in length. Their secondary structure includes four short double-helical elements and three loops (D, anti-codon, and T loops). Further hydrogen bonds mediate the characteristic L-shaped molecular structure. tRNAs have two regions of fundamental functional importance: the anti-codon, which is responsible for specific mRNA codon recognition, and the 3' end, to which the tRNAs corresponding amino acid is attached (by aminoacyl-tRNA synthetases). tRNAs cope with the degeneracy of the genetic code in two manners: having more than one tRNA (with a specific anti-codon) for a particular amino acid; and 'wobble' base-pairing, i.e. permitting non-standard base-pairing at the 3rd anti-codon position.
Source: RNAcentral